This 253-nucleotide ribosomal RNA is filed under the name uncultured bacterium. Its description in RNAcentral is "partial 16S ribosomal RNA". It matches the Rfam family "Bacterial small subunit ribosomal RNA", at positions 524 to 776 of the family's 1533-position model. The record is from RNAcentral.
GACAGAGGGUGCAAACGUUGUUCGGAAUUACUGGGCGUAAAGCGCGUGUAGGCGGCAGCGCAAGUCGGAUGUGAAAUCCCAUGGCUCAACCAUGGAAGUGCACCCGAAACUGCGUCGCUAGAGUCCUGGAGAGGAAGGUGGAAUGCUUGGUGUAGAGGUGAAAUUCGUAGAUAUCAAGCGGAACACCGGUGGCGAAGGCGGCCUUCUGGACAGUUCCUGACACUGAGGCACGAAGGCCAGGGGAGCAAACGGG